UUAAGCGACUAAGCGUACACGGUGGAUGCCCUGGCAGUCAGAGGCGAUGAAGGACGUGCUAAUCUGCGAUAAGCGUCGGUAAGGUGAUAUGAACCGUUAUAACCGGCGAUUUCCGAAUGGGGAAACCCAGUGUGUUUCGACACACUAUCAUUAACUGAAUCCAUAGGUUAAUGAGGCGAACCGGGGGAACUGAAACAUCUAAGUACCCCGAGGAAAAGAAAUCAACCGAGAUUCCCCCAGUAGCGGCGAGCGAACGGGGAGGAGCCCAGAGCCUGAAUCAGUGUGUGUGUUAGUGGAAGCGUCUGGAAAGGCGCGCGAUACAGGGUGACAGCCCCGUACACAAAAAUGCACAUACUGUGAGCUCGAUGAGUAGGGCGGGACACGUGGUAUCCUGUCUGAAUAUGGGGGGACCAUCCUCCAAGGCUAAAUACUCCUGACUGACCGAUAGUGAACCAGUACCGUGAGGGAAAGGCGAAAAGAACCCCGGCGAGGGGAGUGAAAAAGAACCUGAAACCGUGUACGUACAAGCAGUGGGAGCACGCUUCGGCGUGUGACUGCGUACCUUUUGUAUAAUGGGUCAGCGACUUAUAUUCUGUAGCAAGGUUAACCGAAUAGGGGAGCCGAAGGGAAACCGAGUCUUAACUGGGCGUUAAGUUGCAGGGUAUAGACCCGAAACCCGGUGAUCUAGCCAUGGGCAGGUUGAAGGUUGGGUAACACUAACUGGAGGACCGAACCGACUAAUGUUGAAAAAUUAGCGGAUGACUUGUGGCUGGGGGUGAAAGGCCAAUCAAACCGGGAGAUAGCUGGUUCUCCCCGAAAGCUAUUUAGGUAGCGCCUCGUGAAUUCAUCUCCGGGGGUAGAGCACUGUUUCGGCAAGGGGGUCAUCCCGACUUACCAACCCGAUGCAAACUGCGAAUACCGGAGAAUGUUAUCACGGGAGACACACGGCGGGUGCUAACGUCCGUCGUGAAGAGGGAAACAACCCAGACCGCCAGCUAAGGUCCCAAAGUCAUGGUUAAGUGGGAAACGAUGUGGGAAGGCCCAGACAGCCAGGAUGUUGGCUUAGAAGCAGCCAUCAUUUAAAGAAAGCGUAAUAGCUCACUGGUCGAGUCGGCCUGCGCGGAAGAUGUAACGGGGCUAAACCAUGCACCGAAGCUGCGGCAGCGACACUAUGUGUUGUUGGGUAGGGGAGCGUUCUGUAAGCCUGUGAAGGUGUACUGUGAGGUAUGCUGGAGGUAUCAGAAGUGCGAAUGCUGACAUAAGUAACGAUAAAGCGGGUGAAAAGCCCGCUCGCCGGAAGACCAAGGGUUCCUGUCCAACGUUAAUCGGGGCAGGGUGAGUCGACCCCUAAGGCGAGGCCGAAAGGCGUAGUCGAUGGGAAACAGGUUAAUAUUCCUGUACUUGGUGUUACUGCGAAGGGGGGACGGAGAAGGCUAUGUUGGCCGGGCGACGGUUGUCCCGGUUUAAGCGUGUAGGCUGGUUUUCCAGGCAAAUCCGGAAAAUCAAGGCUGAGGCGUGAUGACGAGGCACUACGGUGCUGAAGCAACAAAUGCCCUGCUUCCAGGAAAAGCCUCUAAGCAUCAGGUAACAUCAAAUCGUACCCCAAACCGACACAGGUGGUCAGGUAGAGAAUACCAAGGCGCUUGAGAGAACUCGGGUGAAGGAACUAGGCAAAAUGGUGCCGUAACUUCGGGAGAAGGCACGCUGAUAUGUAGGUGAAGCGACUUGCUCGUGGAGCUGAAAUCAGUCGAAGAUACCAGCUGGCUGCAACUGUUUAUUAAAAACACAGCACUGUGCAAACACGAAAGUGGACGUAUACGGUGUGACGCCUGCCCGGUGCCGGAAGGUUAAUUGAUGGGGUUAGCGCAAGCGAAGCUCUUGAUCGAAGCCCCGGUAAACGGCGGCCGUAACUAUAACGGUCCUAAGGUAGCGAAAUUCCUUGUCGGGUAAGUUCCGACCUGCACGAAUGGCGUAAUGAUGGCCAGGCUGUCUCCACCCGAGACUCAGUGAAAUUGAACUCGCUGUGAAGAUGCAGUGUACCCGCGGCAAGACGGAAAGACCCCGUGAACCUUUACUAUAGCUUGACACUGAACAUUGAGCCUUGAUGUGUAGGAUAGGUGGGAGGCUUUGAAGUGUGGACGCCAGUCUGCAUGGAGCCGACCUUGAAAUACCACCCUUUAAUGUUUGAUGUUCUAACGUUGACCCGUGAUCCGGGUUGCGGACAGUGUCUGGUGGGUAGUUUGACUGGGGCGGUCUCCUCCUAAAGAGUAACGGAGGAGCACGAAGGUUGGCUAAUCCUGGUCGGACAUCAGGAGGUUAGUGCAAUGGCAUAAGCCAGCUUGACUGCGAGCGUGACGGCGCGAGCAGGUGCGAAAGCAGGUCAUAGUGAUCCGGUGGUUCUGAAUGGAAGGGCCAUCGCUCAACGGAUAAAAGGUACUCCGGGGAUAACAGGCUGAUACCGCCCAAGAGUUCAUAUCGACGGCGGUGUUUGGCACCUCGAUGUCGGCUCAUCACAUCCUGGGGCUGAAGUAGGUCCCAAGGGUAUGGCUGUUCGCCAUUUAAAGUGGUACGCGAGCUGGGUUUAGAACGUCGUGAGACAGUUCGGUCCCUAUCUGCCGUGGGCGCUGGAGAACUGAGGGGGGCUGCUCCUAGUACGAGAGGACCGGAGUGGACGCAUCACUGGUGUUCGGGUUGUCAUGCCAAUGGCACUGCCCGGUAGCUAAAUGCGGAAGAGAUAAGUGCUGAAAGCAUCUAAGCACGAAACUUGCCCCGAGAUGAGUUCUCCCUGACUCCUUGAGAGUCCUGAAGGAACGUUGAAGACGACGACGUUGAUAGGCCGGGUGUGUAAGCGCAGCGAUGCGUUGAGCUAACCGGUACUAAUGAACCGUGAGGCUUAACCUU
RNAcentral lists this ribosomal RNA (2901 nucleotides) under Escherichia coli. RNAcentral describes it as "bacterial LSU rRNA". It matches the Rfam family "Bacterial large subunit ribosomal RNA". The record is from RNAcentral. Lineage: Bacteria; Pseudomonadati; Pseudomonadota; Gammaproteobacteria; Enterobacterales; Enterobacteriaceae. RNAcentral also lists the same sequence under 1 other name.